GACGAACGCUGGCGGCGUGCUUAACACAUGCAAGUCGAGCGGUAAGGCCCUUUCGGGGGUACACGAGCGGCGAACGGGUGAGUAACACGUGGGUGACCUGCCUUUAGCUCUGGGAUAAGCCUGGGAAACCGGGUCUAAUACCGGAUAUGACUCCGCGGCGCAUGUUGUGGGGUGGAAAGCCUUGUGCGGCUGGAGAUGGGCCCGCGGCCUAUCAGCUUGUUGGUGGGGUGAUGGCCUACCAAGGCGACGACGGGUAGCCGGCCUGAGAGGGCGACCGGCCACACUGGGACUGAGACACGGCCCAGACUCCUACGGGAGGCAGCAGUGGGGAAUCUUGCGCAAUGGGCGAAAGCCUGACGCAGCGACGCCGCGUGAGGGAUGACGGCCUCGGUUGUAAC
This 398-nucleotide ribosomal RNA is filed under the name uncultured bacterium. Its description in RNAcentral is "bacterial SSU rRNA". It matches the Rfam family "Bacterial small subunit ribosomal RNA", at positions 28 to 429 of the family's 1533-position model. The record is from RNAcentral.